RNAcentral lists this ribosomal RNA (497 nucleotides) under uncultured bacterium. Its description in RNAcentral is "partial 16S ribosomal RNA". It matches the Rfam family "Bacterial small subunit ribosomal RNA", at positions 28 to 507 of the family's 1533-position model. The record is from RNAcentral.
GAUGAACGCUGGCGGCGUGCCUAACACAUGCAAGUCGAGCGGACAGAUGAGGAUUUUGCGCCUUUGACGUUAGGGGCGGACGGGUGAGUAACACGUGUAUACCCUACCUAUAAGAGUGGGAUCAUUUCGGGAAACCGGAUAUAACACCGGAUAAGAUAUUGAACCGCGUGGUGCAUUGGAAAAAGACGGCUUUGCUGGAUCUAAUAGAGGGUUCCGCGCUGGAUUAGCUAGUUGGGAGGGUAACGGCUUACCAAGGCGACGAUGCGUAGCCGACCUGAGAGGGUGAUCGGCCACACUGGAACUGAGACACGGUCCAGACUCCUACGGGAGGCAGCAGUAGGGAAUCUUCGGCAGUGGGCGAAAGCUUGACGGAGCAACGCCGCGUGAGUGAUGAAGGUCUUCGGAUCGUAAAGCUCUGUUAUUGGGGAAGAACAGAUGUGUAAUUAACUAUGCACGUCUUGACGGUACCUAAUCAAAAAGCCCCGGCUAACUACGUG